Molecule: transfer RNA, 77 nt
Filed under: Bacteroidota bacterium
Lineage: Bacteria; Pseudomonadati; Bacteroidota
Also listed under: 3 other names
Description: tRNA-Asp
Rfam family: tRNA
About the family: Transfer RNA (tRNA) molecules are approximately 80 nucleotides in length. Their secondary structure includes four short double-helical elements and three loops (D, anti-codon, and T loops).
Source: RNAcentral
GGGGUUGUAGUUCAGCUGGUUAGAACGCCUGCCUGUCACGCAGGAGGUCGCGGGUUCGAGUCCCGUCAACCCCGCCA